GAUGAACGCUGGCGGCGUGCCUAAUACAUGCAAGUCGAGCGAACAGACGAGGAGCUUGCUCCUCUGACGUUAGCGGCGGACGGGUGAGUAACACGUGGAUAACCUACCUAUAAGACUGGGAUAACUUCGGGAAACCGGAGCUAAUACCGGAUAAUAUAUUGAACCGCAUGGUUCAAUAGUGAAAGACGGUUUUGCUGUCACUUAUAGAUGGAUCCGCGCCGCAUUAGCUAGUUGGUAAGGUAACGGCUUACCAAGGCAACGAUGCGUAGCCGACCUGAGAGGGUGAUCGGCCACACUGGAACUGAGACACGGUCCAGACUCCUACGGGGGGCAGCAGUAGGGAAUCUUCCGCAAUGGGCGAAAGCUUGACGGAGCAACGCCGCGUGAGUGAUGAAGGUCUUCGGAUCGUAAAACUCUGUUAUUAGGGAAGAACAAAUGUGUAAGUAACUAUGCACGUAUUGACGGUACCUAAUCAGAAAGCCACGGCUAACUACGUG
Molecule: ribosomal RNA, 497 nt
Filed under: uncultured bacterium
Lineage: Bacteria
Description: partial 16S ribosomal RNA
Rfam family: Bacterial small subunit ribosomal RNA
Source: RNAcentral